GAUGAACGCUGGCGGCGUGCCUAAUACAUGCAAGUCGAGCGAACGGACGAGAAGCUUGCUUUUCUGAUGUUAGCGGCGGACGGGUGAGUAACACGUGGAUAACCUACCUAUAAGACUGGGAUAACUUCGGGAAACCGGAGCUAAUACCGGAUAAUAUUUUGAACCGCAUGGUUCAAAAGUGAAAGACGGUCUUGCUGUCACUUAUAGAUGGAUCCGCGCUGCAUUAGCUAGUUGGUAAGGUAACGGCUUACCAAGGCAACGAUGCAUAGCCGACCUGAGAGGGUGAUCGGCCACACUGGAACUGAGACACGGUCCAGACUCCUACGGGAGGCAGCAGUAGGGAAUCUUCCGCAAAGGGCGAAAGCCUGACGGAGCAACGCCGCGUGAGUGAUGAAGGUCUUCGGAUCGUAAAACUCUGUUAUUAGGGAAGAACAUAUGUGUAAGUAACUGUGCACAUCUUGACGGUACUUAAUCAGAAAGCCACGGCUAACUACGUG
RNAcentral lists this ribosomal RNA (497 nucleotides) under uncultured bacterium. RNAcentral's name for it is "partial 16S ribosomal RNA". It matches the Rfam family "Bacterial small subunit ribosomal RNA", at positions 28 to 507 of the family's 1533-position model. The record is from RNAcentral.